ACUUUCAGCAACGGAUCUCUUGGCUCUCGCAUCGAUGAAGAACGCAGCGAAAUGCGAUAAGUAAUGUGAAUUGCAGAAUUCAGUGAAUCAUCGAAUCUUUGAACGCACCUUGCGCCCCUUGGUAUUCCGAGGGGCAUGCCUGUUUGAGUGUCAUUA
Molecule: ribosomal RNA, 156 nt
Filed under: Gymnopilus purpureosquamulosus
Lineage: Eukaryota; Fungi; Basidiomycota; Agaricomycetes; Agaricales; Galerinaceae
Description: 5.8S ribosomal RNA
Rfam family: 5.8S ribosomal RNA
About the family: 5.8S ribosomal RNA (5.8S rRNA) is a component of the large subunit of the eukaryotic ribosome.
Source: RNAcentral